RNAcentral lists this ribosomal RNA (451 nucleotides) under uncultured Fibrobacter sp. Its description in RNAcentral is "bacterial SSU rRNA". It matches the Rfam family "Bacterial small subunit ribosomal RNA", at positions 341 to 792 of the family's 1533-position model. The record is from RNAcentral. Lineage: Bacteria; Pseudomonadati; Fibrobacterota; Fibrobacteria; Fibrobacterales; Fibrobacteraceae.
ACGGGAGGCAGCAGUGGGGAAUAUUGCACAAUGGGGGAAACCCUGAUGCAGCAACGCCACGUGUGGGAAGAAGCAUUUCGGUGUGUAAACCACUGUCGUGAGGGAAUAAUGCUAUUUCUCGGAAUAGUUGAAUGUACCUCGAAAGGAAGCACCGGCAAACUUCGUGCCAGCAGCCGCGGUAAUACGAGGGGUGCAAGCGUUGUUCGGAAUCACUGGGCGUAAAGGGAGCGCAGUCGGAGAUGCAAGCGGUCUGUACAAUCCCGUGGCCUAACCCCGGACCUGCAGACCGGACUGUUUCUCUUGGAUAGUUCAGGGGCAAGCGGAAUGCCUGGUGUAGCGGUGGAAUGCGUAGAGAUCAGGAAGAACACCGAUGGAGAAGGCAGCUUGCUGGGGACUUAUCGACGCUCAUGCUCGAAAGUGCGGGUAGCAAACAGGAUUAGAGUCCCUGGUA